Molecule: transfer RNA, 72 nt
Filed under: Marmota marmota marmota (Alpine marmot)
Lineage: Eukaryota; Metazoa; Chordata; Mammalia; Rodentia; Sciuridae
Also listed under: 2 other names
Rfam family: tRNA
About the family: Transfer RNA (tRNA) molecules are approximately 80 nucleotides in length. Their secondary structure includes four short double-helical elements and three loops (D, anti-codon, and T loops).
Source: Rfam by way of RNAcentral
UGGGCUGCAGCUUACUGGUAGAGUGUGUACUUGGCAUGCACCAGGCCCUGGGUUCAAUCCCCAGCAUCCAAA